RNAcentral lists this long non-coding RNA (836 nucleotides) under Monodelphis domestica (gray short-tailed opossum). Its description in RNAcentral is "lncRNA (ENSMODG00000040807.1)". Lineage: Eukaryota; Metazoa; Chordata; Mammalia; Didelphimorphia; Didelphidae. The record is from RNAcentral.
AGACAACAGAGUGUAGCAGAAAGAGUGCUGGAGUUGAGAGUCCAGAAAAUCUAGGCUUGAAUCCUACCUCAGAAAUUAUGUGAUUCUGGGCAAGUCACUUAACCUCACUUAAUUUCAUCUACAAAAUGAGGGCGUUGGACUCAUUGACUUCUAAAUUCUCUCCUGCUCUGAUACUCUGAGGCCAUAACAUUCAAGGCAUCAAGAGAAGAGGAUUUUGCUUCUGGAUUGAACCUGGUGAAUACUUCAUCAAAGACAUCUCGAAGCAGGGACAGGAUGUCAUUUCCCCCAAUAUAUCCAAACGACCUGCCUUCCCCAACAAAUAACUGUCUUGAUCACACACAGUAGCCCAGAUUUGGGCUCAAGCUCCAGCCUGUCGUCCUUGCCCGCCAAGAUUAUUUUUGGAUUCAGAUCCUGUUAUCCAGCAUAUGUGAUAUCCUUCUCAGCUUCUUGUCUUCUAAAAUUUGACAGGUAUGACAUCUAUGUCUUCAUCCAAGUCAUUGAAAAAAACAUCUUGAACAGCACAGGGUCAAGGACAGAUAGAUGCCUGAGACAUUCCACAAAAGCCCUCCUUUUAAGUUGACACUGAUCACUAAUUAAUGACUACUACUUGGGUCUGGCUGGCUAUUCAACCAAUUCCAAUUCCAUUUAACUAUACUACAAUUUAGACAAAAUCUACCUUUCCCUUUUGCGUUCCCUUUCAUUUAUCCUGUAUACCUUUUAUACUCUUAAUCAUUUACAUGUUUUCUACCCCAUUAGGAUGUAAGCUUCUUAAAGGGAAGAAUUAUUGGUUGUUGUUUUUUGUUGUUGUUGUUAGUAUCAUCAUCAUUGUUUUUAAC